CAGCACCUCAAGUGGUCAGGAUGAUUAUUGGGCCUAAAGCAUCCGUAGCCUGCUUUGUUAGUUUUCGGUUAAAUCCAUACGCUCAACGUAUGGGCUGCCGGGAAUACUGCAAAGCUAGGGAGUGGGAGAGGUAGACGGUACUUGGUAGGAAGGGGUAAAAUCCUUUGAUCUAUUGAUGACCACCUGUGGCGAAGGCGGUCUACCAGAACACGUCCGACGGUGAGGGAUGAAAGCUGGGGGAGCAAACCGGAUUAGAUACCCGAGUAGUCC
RNAcentral lists this ribosomal RNA (270 nucleotides) under uncultured archaeon. RNAcentral's name for it is "partial 16S ribosomal RNA". It matches the Rfam family "Archaeal small subunit ribosomal RNA", at positions 477 to 747 of the family's 1478-position model. The record is from RNAcentral.